Molecule: long non-coding RNA, 677 nt
Organism: Dermacentor andersoni
Lineage: Eukaryota; Metazoa; Arthropoda; Arachnida; Ixodida; Ixodidae
Source: RefSeq, a predicted model, not a curated record
UGUAAAUCUGGCCUUGGUACCAGCUGUGAAACGGAAACAAGCCUUGAUGCGUCGCUUGUGUCCCACGUAGAGUGCCUUUUGGGAAACGCACUUCCCGAUGCUCCGCUAGAUAAGAUCAUCGCCCUUGUCUGUGGCAUCAUCAGCCGUACCGACAGGGCUGCCUUCACCGCCCUACCACUGUGGUUUGGCCUCUACAACGUCAACACAAAUUUGUGCCCCUGGCGGUAGCCACUGGACCCCUUUCGCCUCGGCUUCUCGUAGACGCCACCCACGGACUGACCCACCGGUGGAAAAUUGGUGUGCAAUUCGUUCUAAACCGCGCAUCGAAGCAACUGCACCCCAAGCCUUCAUCAGAGAACUAGCUCCUUUUGUUAAAUGUAGCUGUGUUGAACAAAAGUUAGUUUUCUGUUUAAUUAUACACAUGUGUCAAAGAAACUGCUCCUUUAGCAUACUUUAUUAUGAUAAGUGCUUUUUUGCUUGCAUUCUUAUAACUCGCUGACAUAAGAAAGUUUAUAUACUGGCUGUUCUUUUUUGUUGUUGUUGAUCACAGAUUCUUUCUUCUAAAUGAAUUCUGGCCUAUUCCCAAAUUAUGGUCAUUGGGAAAGAUUACUUAUUGAGGUGGGCAUCAUUACGUACAGAAAUGCAAUAAAUGCAUACUUUGGUUAUUAAAAAAAAGU